Molecule: ribosomal RNA, 474 nt
Filed under: uncultured organism
Description: partial 16S ribosomal RNA
Rfam family: Bacterial small subunit ribosomal RNA
Source: RNAcentral
CACUCCUACGGGAGGCAGCAGUGGGGAAUUUUGGACAAUGGGCGCAAGCCUGAUCCAGCCAUGCCGCGUGCGGGAAGAAGGCCUUCGGGUUGUAAACCGCUUUUGUCAGGGAAGAAAAGGUUCUGGCUAAUACCUGGGACUCAUGACGGUACCUGAAGAAUAAGCACCGGCUAACUACGUGCCAGCAGCCGCGGUAAUACGUAGGGUGCAAGCGUUAAUCGGAAUUACUGGGCGUAAAGCGUGCGCAGGCGGUUAUGCAAGACAGAGGUGAAAUCCCCGGGCUCAACCUGGGAACUGCCUUUGUGACUGCAUGGCUAGAGUACGGUAGAGGGGGAUGGAAUUCCGCGUGUAGCAGUGAAAUGCGUAGAUAUGCGGAGGAACACCGAUGGCGAAGGCAAUCCCCUGGACCUGUACUGACGCUCAUGCACGAAAGCGUGGGGAGCAAACAGGAUUAGAAACCCUGGUAGUCCCAUG